UUUAGUACACGAACACAAAUCUGUCGGUUAAAAUGGCGAGGGUUGCUAAGGAUAUCUUGAUUUCGGGAACUUUCUGCAGCUUCCAUUUCAUGGAGCACUUCUUCGGUAUACUCUGGCUCUAGUGCGUACCCAAAUUGACCAUACUCGUCAAAAGCUACCUCUCUUGACGGACUGGAACCACUGUUAGUACUAUCAUUCUCCGAACAAGACAUUUUUAGUUAUGAUUUUAUUUUUUGGACCAUAUAUACACUGUCCUAUAGAAACAAGCACGCACA
This 275-nucleotide long non-coding RNA is filed under the name Mytilus galloprovincialis (Mediterranean mussel). The record is from RNAcentral. Lineage: Eukaryota; Metazoa; Mollusca; Bivalvia; Mytilida; Mytilidae.